UAAGGUGGCUCUGGCGAUGGGGCCCACCCCUUUCCAUUCCGAACAGGGAAGUUAAGCCCAUCUGCGCCGAUGGUACUGCUAUACCAAGUGGGAGAGUAGGUCGCCGCCUUUU
Molecule: ribosomal RNA, 112 nt
Organism: Sediminicola sp. YIK13
Lineage: Bacteria; Pseudomonadati; Bacteroidota; Flavobacteriia; Flavobacteriales; Flavobacteriaceae
Source: Rfam